GUGCAAGAAACGAAGCAGCCUGGUAAAGAUUGAAAACAGACAAUUGGCUUUGUUUGCGAGUGGUGCGUUUUUAACUAUGGCGCAGAAAACAGUGCAGAAACAAAAUGGCGUCGUUGGAGUGAACCCCUUUGUGAUACGUGCGGGCAUGUUUCCUGCAGAUCUGAUGCUAAGCCAAACCGUUGACUGUGUGCCCUAAUAUUUCUUUUGCAGAUCGCGUAGAUCGCGAUUCGUGCUACGGUGAAAUAUAAAGAUGUGCUUUUGAUAUUAGUUGAGAACAGUGUCCAGAUGAAAUAUACCGAAAGAACAUGAAAUUGAUCGGAAUUGCAUUUGCCGCUUGUUCCAUGCCUUCAUUACGCUGCCACGGGUGCCUUGAGAAGAAGUUCUGAAAAAUGAGCCGCAGUAAGCCGUAAAGGUGAUGUGACGUUCAUUUGGGUAGAUGUUUGUUCAAAAUUUCAGCCUUGCUCUAUGUAAAAGAAAAGUUCUGCUUUAUAAUCUACAUUACUCAGAAAUCAUUGAAGCCAUCGAAGUGGACAGCGUAUUUACAGCGAACACUUAAUGAAGCCUGCCAUUCAACAAAAGGCCACUUUAUUGAGGCACAAUAGUACAGAGAGCAGCUUGAUGUUUCCAAUCCCGGUGUUUUCGUCCAUUGAGUGCCAACUCUCGGAGUCAUUUCUCCUUCUCCAUCCACUUUUACUUCAUUAUCACUUCCUUCCUGGUCAUUUUCGAGAUCAGUGUCAUCUUCAUUUUCACUAUUGUAACCGUACUCAUGUACUAGAAAUGGGGUUGAAAUGGUUUGGAAAUGGAAACACAAGACAUUCUGUACGUAAAUUACGAUUGAUAAUGUUCACGAAAACUGAGAAAUGAAAAUUAUCAUAAAAGUCACAGUCUGAUGGUAUUUCAUUUUGCGGAAAGUCGUCAUCACAUUCUGAAUCUUCUGGUUCGACCGUAUUUUCAAACUGCAAUCUUUGCCAGAUGGUAAUCCUAGUAAAACAAAUAUCAUUGCCCAACAGUGUUGUUCAAAUUGUAUAUGAAUGAAAGUUUUUGCACAGAUCUGAAGUGUAAGGUCUACUAAUCAAAAACUAAAUUUUUACCGGAUUGAGAAUGGUCGUGCACAAUAGGAUAAACUUGGAGAAGUUUACGGGUAAACCUAUAAUCUUAAAAAAAUAUUUUGGAGCUUACCUGUAAGCACUCCAAAUGUGAACUAUUUGCUAUUUUUAUGCUUAGCAUUUCAUCUAACAAAUUCACAUAUCAUUUGUAUUAAUACAAAAGUUAAUAAGAGUUAUAAUGCAAUUCUGUUGACUGUUGGCCUGAAUCUGUUACAAUACCUGCUGAUAAAUUACAGUUUUGGUUUUACUUCUUAUUAGAACACUAUCGUAUUAGAACCAUAUAUCGUGUCUUGGCAGCAGAGAUCCUAAACCAUCUUUGAUUCCCGCAUGUUCUGUUGGUUAACAUCGAACUUUGCUGUUCCGGCUGACUGCUGCUUUCCAGGGAGCCCGUUCGAUGAAUGGCCGUUUUAGAUGUUUGAUCUUUUCGGGUAGCCGUUUCGGAAGUUCGAAUGGCAUUCUCAUGGCAAAUAAUCAGAUCUACAUGGAACAUCAUGUUAUAGGACACAGCGGUGUUCCACUCAAGUGCUUGGGAGAGAUCAAAUAAGAUAAAAAUCCAAAUGAAUUGGUUAAAACUCUCAUCAUUAUCUUGAUAUCGUACACCAUUAUUAACCGAUCGUUGGAACAUUGGUUUUAUUGGUCGCAUCGGCCUCCGCCGCAUCCAUAUUUCCAGUUGCACCCAUAUGAUUAGUACAACACUUUCCUGCAUUCAUAUGAGAUUCAUGCCACGCUAUGUAUUCAGUAGAAUUCAGUUUACUUUCCCAAAUGUAGGAUUCGUGACAGUUUAAUCUUUAACUGCAAUAUCUAGAAAUUUUUCGGUAAAGUACCCAAUCAAAAAAGUGACACCAAAUAAUGACGAGAAGCUUCUUUUGUUCCAUGUACCGUUGCCUGAUACGGUAAGCUCUACAGUAUCACUGUUCAAUUCUCCUUCGGUGGUGCUGCUUUCUCUUCUGUUGUGGCGAAUAAGAGUAGCUGUCUCGCAACUUUUGUUAUAGUCGAACACAUUCUGUUAAUAAUAAUAAAAAAUAUAUAUUUCAAAGUGUUCGCCGUCAGGCUAGAUACAGCAUCUUAAAACUAAAAAGGAUAACAAUAUGGUAGAAGGGAGCUUAUGUGUAACAGAGUGGUGGCAUAGAGGGGUAAAAAAUAACGACUGCAAACAAACUGCAACUGAGAGUGGGAAUAUCGGUGUUGGACGGGCUGGGAUUUCUUAGGAGGAAGGCUGGUGUUCCGUCGAGUCUUAGCACCGAUAGGCCGGCUCUUACAGCCCCGGUCGUAGACUGCUGGCAGGACACUGUCUGCGUGCCAACGUCGUGAAUGACAUGCUCCCAUUUGGGGUACAGACCGCGUCCUUGGGUCCUUGGCCGGGCAGCUCGUCUGCCCUAUUGCUGGCAUUUCCACCCUUUUCGUGAGUUCCUUUUCAUUUUUUUAGGUGGCAACCACUACAGCAACAGCAGUUGUUAAAGAAAUCACCUAUUGCGCGCCACUUGUCACCUAUUUUUCUAGAGAAAUCAUCUGAUUGCCUUGAUUGUGGGUUUUUUUUUAUUUGCUUUGCACUUGUUUUCUUCGCAACGACCGGUUUCUGUUUGUAUUUCCGGAGGAAUUGUUAAUUCGUGUGAGCCUGUGUGCGAGCGUACGGAUAGAAUUCUGUAAGUAUUAAAUGUGUGGAUGAAUCUUGAGAAACUAUGGAAAUCUUCUGCACUUACCACAUUACCCUUAUUUGGUUAGGCUUCGGAACCAGUAGGACUACAUCUCGGGUAUGAAUGAUAACUGUUAUUUUGGCAUUGUAAAAUACAUUUAUACGAUACAGGAGGAUAUUCCGUCUUCUCAGUUACAUUUUCACAGUCAUCCGUACAAUAUAUUUGUAAAAUGGAUGAAUGCUAUCGAGUUGCAGGCGUUGAUUGAUUAAUUAAACUCCGUCUAUGCCGUCGUUGUCGGCAAUCGUAGAGCUGGUGUAAAUUGCUGCGUACCUUUGAGUAAAUCGUACAGGACAGCGUGCACUAUUUUAUGUCGAAGACUCCACUGCCUGAGAAACGUCGCCUGAGAAACAUCGUUCUCCUCAAUCGAAUGUUUUUCGGCCUCUUCAAGAACGAUUGCGACAUUCCGAAUUUGAGGCGGUUAUUGCGAAUGUAUACCACCGUAAUUUCUGCCAAAAAUUCUAACACCAUUUUUGUAAUCGAAGAACAUAUAGUAGCUGGCCAAUUCCUCAACCUAAAUUGUUGUUAUCUGUUCCGCGCUUGGAUCGCGAUCUUGACAGAGGGCGAGUGUAGGAGUUCGAAAAACCUCUCUCGAAAACACGGUCGACUCAGCCAGUGGCAACUACAGCUAGUUGAGCCAUCCAGUUUUCUAUGAACGCUGCUUGGUUUUAUUUCUUAUGUUAUUCUCGAGAGUCUCGAUGCGUCUCUGGCUAAUGCUAAUCCAGGAUGCAGGGUCUCGCUUAUCCUAGCUUAUCUAGCUCGCUUGCUAGGGCCCGUGUAGCGCAGGUAAAUUUGGUUCGAUGCGCUCUUCUUCCUUCCGCAGCGCAUCCCGGCUGUUCUGGCGCGCUGGUGCUUGAUGUGCGCAGGAGGUGCUUUUCUCCUGUGAUUUUUUUUCCUAUAUUUAGGAGUAUCUUAUAGCGGCACUUUCGGGCUCGCUGCACUAGAAAUAUCAUGUAUUGGGGUUAUGCACAAUGCGUAGCACCAUACAUGAUGUUUCUGGAACGUUUUCUUGGAAUGCACAAGGAUACCACACUAACGGAACUUUGUUUAAAGAAAAACGAUCCAACA
Anopheles darlingi is the source of this 3865-nucleotide long non-coding RNA. RefSeq lists it as uncharacterized. The record is from RefSeq and is a predicted model, not a curated record. NCBI's taxonomy places the organism in Eukaryota, Metazoa, Arthropoda, Insecta, Diptera, Culicidae. The transcript is spliced from 4 exons.